Molecule: ribosomal RNA, 253 nt
Filed under: uncultured bacterium
Lineage: Bacteria
Description: partial 16S ribosomal RNA
Rfam family: Bacterial small subunit ribosomal RNA
Source: RNAcentral
UACGGAGGGUGCAAGCGUUGUUCGGAAUUAUUGGGCGUAAAGCGCGCGCAGGUGGUUCCUUAAGUCUGAUGUGAAAGCCCACGGCUCAACCGUGGAGGGUCAUUGGAAACUGGGGAACUUGAGUGCAGAAGAGGAAAGUGGAAUUCCAAGUGUAGCGGUGAAAUGCGUAGAGAUUUGGAGGAACACCAGUGGCGAAGGCGACUUUCUGGUCUGUAACUGACACUGAGGCGCGAAAGCGUGGGGAGCAAACAGG